UGCAAGUCGAGGGGUAACAUAGAGAAGCUUGCUUUUUUGAUGACGACCGGCGCACGGGUGCGUAACGCGUAUACAAUCUACCUCUUACUGGGGAAUAGCCCGGAGAAAUCCGGAUUAAUGCCCCAUAGUAUUGCUACUUCGCAUGUUGAAGCAAUUAAAGGUUACGGUAAGAGAUGAGUAUGCGUCCCAUUAGCUAGAUGGUAAGGUAACGGCUUACCAUGGCAACGAUGGGUAGGGGGCCUGAGAGGGUGAUCCCCCACACUGGUACUGAGACACGGGCCAGACUCCUACGGGAGGCAGCAGUGAGGAAUAUUGGACAAUGGACGCAAGUCUGAUCCAGCCAUGCCGCGUGCAGGAAGAAUGCCCUA
RNAcentral lists this ribosomal RNA (368 nucleotides) under Pseudo-nitzschia fraudulenta. Its description in RNAcentral is "partial Bacterial small subunit ribosomal RNA". It matches the Rfam family "Bacterial small subunit ribosomal RNA", at positions 56 to 419 of the family's 1533-position model. The record is from RNAcentral. Lineage: Eukaryota; Bacillariophyta; Bacillariophyceae; Bacillariales; Bacillariaceae.